Molecule: long non-coding RNA, 248 nt
Filed under: Mytilus galloprovincialis (Mediterranean mussel)
Lineage: Eukaryota; Metazoa; Mollusca; Bivalvia; Mytilida; Mytilidae
Source: RNAcentral
GUAAGGAUAGGUUCGGACAAGGCUCUAAUUCACUAAAUAUCCUUUAUCUCUUGAAUUUUGCCUAAAAUUCUUGUCGGCUUUUAGCAGGAUUCUGCAGGUGAGCAUAAUUUAGAUUGGUAUCAGAGCAUCACAUUUUUGCCUUAUUUGCAAUGCAUUUAUAAAUUUUUAAAUCUCCAUGCUGGACAGACACCCACAUUUAAAGGUUUUCUUUAUAUUUACAUAAGCACGCACACAUCUUAGUUCCUUGA